GUAUUCCUACUGUGCUCUCUGAGGAUGUGGAUGCUGUUGAUCUGCGGACCACACUUUGAGAAAUACACAGGUGACAGCUGUGGUGGAAAGAACUCCCAUCCAGGAAUCAAAACAUGUCUUCACAUUUUGGCCAUGGAACUUGGGGGUCUUGCUUUGUUGCUCAGGAUGGAGUACAGUGGUGCAAUCUUGUCUCACUGCAGCAUCGACCUCUGGGGCUUAAGCCAUCCUUGCACUUCAGCCUCCCAAGUAGCUGGUACUACAGCUUUGCCCCCUCCAGGGGAUGCAACAACAAGGCGCCAUCUUGGAAGUAGACACCAGGCCCUCACCAGACACCAAACCUGCUGGUGCCUCGAUCUUCAAUUUCCAGCCUCCAGAGUGCUCUGGCCAGGCACGGUGGCUCACACCUGUAAUCCCAGCACUUUGGGAGCCCGAGGCAGGCGGAUCAUCUGAGGUCAGGAGUUCGAGACCAGCCUGGCCAAUGUGGUGAAACCCCAUUUCUACUAAAAAUAUAAAAAAUUAGGUGGGCGUGGUGGUGCGCACCUGUAAUCCCAGCUACUCUGGAGGCUGAGACAGAAGAAUCACUGGAACCCGAGAGGCGGAAGUUGCAGUGAGCCGAGAUCACGCAUUGCACUCUGGUCUGUGCAACAAGAGUGAAACUCCAUCUCAAAACAACAGCAACAAAAAACAAACAAACAAAAAACAACAAGACAGCUCUUCAUACAUUUAAAGACAUCUACCACGGUGGCCAUACUUCUGGAAAUAAAUAGUCUAAGUUAGAACAAAAUACUGCCCCCGUUUUAUUAAUACAUGACAAACCUCUGGUACUUGAAGAUGGCUUUAUGGUCGCCAUAUUUUUUCUUGAAAUAAAAUUGAGAAAUAAAAUCCAAAAAAUGACCUAAA
This 900-nucleotide long non-coding RNA is filed under the name Homo sapiens (human). Its description in RNAcentral is "JAKMIP2 antisense RNA 1". Lineage: Eukaryota; Metazoa; Chordata; Mammalia; Primates; Hominidae. The record is from RNAcentral.